Molecule: long non-coding RNA, 12049 nt
Filed under: Lathyrus oleraceus (garden pea)
Lineage: Eukaryota; Viridiplantae; Streptophyta; Magnoliopsida; Fabales; Fabaceae
Description: Pisum sativum (pea) long non-coding RNA (PSAT_LNC019487)
Source: RNAcentral
AUAAAUGUAAACAAUGAGAAUUAAAAUCAGUAAACAAUGAGAAUUAAAAUCAGUAAACCUAUCACCAUUCACUUCCUUUCUUCUUUCACGCUCGAUCAUCCUUCUCUCUCUCACUCUCGAUCUCUUACCAUCUCGCCACUCUCGAUCGCUCUAUCUCACACCUCUCUCGCUCAUGUCAUCUCUCAAUCUCAACCUCAUUCACAAACUUUCACUCUACAUGCCAGAAAAACAAAAUGCUUUAAAGAGAUUCAAGCAGUAAAACUCACCUUCGGCGGUGGUCCGGUGGUAAUGACGAUGCUUGGAUCUUCCUCCCGUCGCCGCUCAACUCUUCUAGCUCUAGGGCUUUCGCUCUCUGAAAACUUUAGGUUUUUUUUGUGGCUGAUUGAAGUUAGGUUUUUCGUCGCCGCUCCUAAAAAACCCUCCUUUUUUUCUACAGCAUCCGCCUCUUUUUAUACCCAAUCAGUUAGGGUUUUCGAGCUAGCUAUGGAGAUUAAAAAGGGAAACCUCUUGGAAGUGCUUUUAGGUGCUCAGCUUUGCCUGUCUCGCUUGAUACUUAAAUCUGGAAACGGUAAUAUGAACUUAGCUUUCUUCCUCUAACUUUGUCUCAAUUCUCUUUUGGGUUAUUUUUUGAACUUUACAGCCUUUGCUAAUUACUUGGUUUUACUGUAGUAAAAAUUGGUGAAAAGAAACACUUCGGUUAUUUGCAAAGCUCAACUAUUGCUACUACCAUGAACUUCUAGGUGUGAAGAAGUGCUAGCUAUCAAGGAUGAAAAUCAGUUCCGUUAUAAGCUAAUGUUAAUGUUAAGUCUCAUUACAUUGUCUUACUUAACUGUUAGUGCAGAAUUUCUUAUUAAUUGGAAAUUUUGUUCAACUAUGAGGAAUUAUUCUUACUGUUAUGCUUAUUAAUCUCUGCAGGUUAGUAGGUGUUGCCGGUUGAAUGUGUUGUUGCUAAUGUGUUUGGUGUUGGCUAUUGUGCCUGAAAUUGGGCUUGAAAUUGUUCAGGUUUUGGAUACUGAUUGGGUAAUAGGAUUGUGUAUAGAUGGAAUUAGAAAUGAUUGUAAUUUUGAACAUAUUUGUUUCAGGAAUGAAUAGGAAGUUUGCAGGUUAUUGGUUAGUUUGGGAAUUUCGGCUUGGAUGCGGUUACGAAGCGCAUUGGAUGGCGGGGCUGUUUUGGAAUUCUGCAAAGCUUCUUCAUGUUCCACGACUUCAAUAGAUGAAUUGAUCGAGCGACAAGCAGCAGCAGCGGAUUUAACUUUUAGCUGACCAAUAUAUGCUUCCGUGUGUAUAAUCUGUCUAUGCAUAUUAUUCAACUCAAACUUGUCAUGAUCAAGAACAUUGUAUCUAUGAAUCAUGUGAGGUUCUAAUCCAUUUGUAGCGUACCGUAAAGUUUUAAAAUGCCGGAGAUUAGCUUUAGUGCCUCAAAUUUGUAGUUUCCGUUUGUUUAUGGUUGUUUGUAAUUAGGUGCCUAGUAUAAUCCUUAAAUUUUUGUAGCUGUAUAGCUUUAUAAUAUGAAGCGUGAUUAUUCUAUUCCAUCUCACAAUGUCUAUCAUGGAUUAAAUAAGAAACAAAAGAAUUAUAAAUAUGUUGAUACAGACAUCCCAAAAGAAUAAGUCAUGACUGCCUAUGUUAUAUAAAUAAUAUAUAUCGUGUUACAUACAAGCAAAAAUCAAUCAAUUCAUGUAAUCACACAUAGAAAAAGAAAUUUUGAAUGUUAAUUCUAACACUACUAGCACAGUAUAAUUAUAAUAUAAUAAAAGAUAUGCUUUAAGUUGUUUGACUUUUCAAUUACUACUAAUGCAAGGCUACAUUGGCUUAACAUGAAUGCAUUUGAAUGCCAUGCUUAUGUGUAUCAGUUUUGGUUCUUGCUUGGAGAACAAGAAAUGUAUAAAGAGGAAAUCGAGGAAAUUAGAAUCAACAUGAGGUUGAAAUAGAAUAGGUCUUAGAGCUUAGAAAAAAACUGACUUUACUUUGGUUAAAGUGAUAUUUUUUGCAAACACAAUGAUUGUACACAUAUAUAUAAAAAUGGUUCUUUUAUUUCAACAAAGAGAAAGCUUUAAUUUCAAAUGAUAUUUUGCUACCGACUUAACAUAUGAAUUGCUAGUCAGAAAUUUGCACCAUGACCUUGAAUGGAUAAUACAUAUGAAAUUGUCAUGAAUGUAUGCAAAUGAACUUUAGGCCGAAGGCCGAAUGAAAAAUUUUCAGGACCAAAAUCGGGGUAUGACAGUUGCCCCUAUUUAAGUAUCUUCAACUAGAGAAUAUGAAGCAGGACACUCUUCAUAUGAUCAUAGUGGGAGAUAGUUAAAUACUAAGAAGACCCGGAUUUUGAUCCUGAAUCCCUAUGACAUGAUGUGAUAUGAUAUGAUAUGAUAUGAUAUGAUAUGAUAUGCAUGGAUGAUUGAUUUUUUUUAUUAUUAUUAUUAUUAUUUUUUUUUUUUAUUUUUUUUUAUUUUUUUUUAUUUUUUUUGCUAGGGAUAUGGUGGACCCUUGACAGGAGAUGCUACUAGACAGACCAAUCUGUGGUGGAAUGCUGAUGAUCCACAGGGAGACAGACAAAUGGUGAGAAAGAACUUGCUGGGGAAACAGUCCUGCUGGAGAAUCAGACACACACUGGGGAGUAUUCAAAGUGAGAUUUGAUAAACGGCACUUAGAAUACAACCGAAUAAAGAAAAAGAUGUUAUGACAAGUUCAUAUAAGACCUGACAACGCUGGGGAAUAAUCAAGGAGAAAACUCUUCAGAACAGGUUCAUGUAUGACCUGAUACCGGAAUAGGGGUUCAACAAACAGGUUCAUACAUGACCUGAAUGGGUAUUGAACAAAGAAUCUUCAGAGUAGGUUCAAGCAUGACCAGACCCCGGAAUAAAGAGGUUCAAUGACAGGUUCGUAUAAGACCUGAAUAGGAUUGAACAAAGAAUCUUCAGAGCAGGUUCAAGCAUGACCGGACCCCGGAAUAAAAAGGUUCAAUGACAGGUUCGUAUAAGACCUGAAUAGGAUUGAACAAAGAAUCUUCAGAGUAGGUUCAAGCAUGACCGGACCCCGGAAUAAAAAGGUUCAAUGACAGGUUCGUAUAAGACCUGAAUAGGAUUGAACAAAGAAUCUUCAGAGUAGGUUCAAGCAUGACCGGACCCCGGAAUAAAAAGGUUCAAUGACAGGUUCGUAUAAGACCUGAAUAGGAUUGAACAAAGAAUCUUCAGAGUAGGUUCAAGCAUGACCGGACCCCGGAAUAAAAAGGUUCAAUGACAGGUUCGUAUAAGACCUGAAUAGGAUUGAACAAAGAAUCUUCAGAGUAGGUUCAAGCAUGACCGGACCCCGGAAUAAAAAGGUUCAAUGACAGGUUCGUAUAAGACCUGAAUAGGAUUGAACAAAGAAUCUUCAGAGUAGGUUCAAGCAUGACCGGACCCCGGAAUAAAAAGGUUCAAUGACAGGUUCGUAUAAGACCUGAAUAGGAUUGAACAAAGAAUCUUCAGAGUAGGUUCAAGCAUGACCGGACCCCGGAAUAAAAAGGUUCAAUGACAGGUUCGUAUAAGACCUGAAUAGGAUUGAACAAAGAAUCUUCAGAGUAGGUUCAAGCAUGACCGGACCCCGGAAUAAAAAGGUUCAAUGACAGGUUCGUAUAAGACCUGAAUAGGAUUGAACAAAGAAUCUUCAGAGUAGGUUCAAGCAUGACCGGACCCCGGAAUAAAAAGGUUCAAUGACAGGUUCGUAUAAGACCUGAAUAGGAUUGAACAAAGAAUCUUCAGAGUAGGUUCAAGGAUGACCUGACCCCGGAAUAAAAGGGUUCAAUGACAGGUUCGUAUAAGACCUGAAUAGGAUUGAACAAAGAAUCUUCAGAGUAGGUUCAAGGAUGACCUGACCCCGGAAUAAAAAGGUUCAAUGACAGGUUCGUAUAAGACCUGAAUAGGAUUGAACAAAGAAUCUUCAGAGUAGGUUCAAGCAUGACCGGACCCCGGAAUAACAACAAUUGGACUUGAAAAUGACCAGGAAAACCGGAUGUUGGUUUAGGGAUACCAAAGACAAGCUGGAAUUAGAGGUCAAAGGAUCUAGGAUUGACACCAAGACCUAGGCCAAUGCAAAAUGAGCACGAAGUACAUUUCGGCUAUGCAUGAUUUGAAUUUCCUUUUAUGCAUGAUAUAUGAAUGAUCAUGAUUAUGAGAAUGCUGACACUGGGCAGACUGGGAGUUUGUAAAGGCUUUUUAUGGAAGCUCAUGAUUCCUCAACACCGAGAACUCAACCAAAUAUUUGUGAUAGAUGUUGUCAAAGGAGAAUUCUAUCCAGCUUGAUAGCCACAACUUAGCCAAUGAGAUCCUUUUUAAGGAUCAACGAAUCGUGCUAGCAUAGUUUUCGGGCACUCGUCUUGAACUCAAUAAUUGUUGACGCAUGGCAGAAUUUGUUUGAAUAGUUUGAAAGCAUGAAGGGGGUCUGCCCCUCUGUGGCUCAUCUUGCCCCAGUUUGUUGGGUCUUUGGAAAUGUUCACCUUGAAAGUGAGUUUGGAAACAAAUUGCCAUGAGACUACCUCGAGAUGGCUUGCCCCAAGUGUUUGAAACUUGCGAUGGUCCGCACUUGACUAACCAAAUGUUGGAAUGGCAGACUCUUGGUUGACUGUCCUUUGGAUAGUUGGACUCAUUGAGCUCUGAGGUGGCUUGCCCCGGUCUAAGUCUUGAAGCAAAUUACUCUUGGCUAACUGAACCAUGGAGUGAUUGGACUUACUGAGCUUCGAGGUGGCUUGCCCCGGUCUGAUUCUUGAAGCAAAUUACUCUUGGCUAGAUGACCUUUAGGGUGAUUAGCUCGAAUUAACUGAUGCUCAAAGUGAUUUGCCCCCGAAUAGACUUCUUUCACUCCAUCUAGUUCCUCAACUGUGUAUUGAAUUUCUUUGAUGCUAAGUGUUGACUCGCAAAUAAGAUUGUUCAUUCAAAAAUGGUAAUUUUAAUUCAAUGCUUAUGCAAAAAUUUGAAAUCAAAAUUUAUUGAUAUGAACGGGUAAAAUACAGUGAACGAGUCGUUGAUAAGAACACAAUGGUGAUCAAGUCAUUCACAGUAUACAAGUUGGUGCUAUCAAAUGAUUAACAAAAAUCGUUUGGAGUCAAGUUAACACAACCUUGUUAUAGUAUGCUUUCAAAAUAAACCCUGCCUCAAUUAGGUCUUUUAAGGGUUGUAACGUGGUCUGGUUCACGCUUUUUUUUGAAACAAAAGGAUAUAAGGCUCAAAAUUUAUUUUUACCCACCCCUUCUUCUUGAUGAUCUCCAGUUCCUAUGUUCAGUUAAUUCAAUACACGCAUUCGACUUCCAAGAGGGUUCGAAGGUGUGAUGAGGAUUCAAGACGAAUUUUCUUGAAAUGGCAGUCACCUUUUUUUUUUGUUUUGUUGAGGAUUUUGGUGACCUCUUUUGAUUGAUUUUCUUUAUCCCUAAUUUUGCCUGGACCGCUUCUUUGAAGCUUUCGGUCCAUCGGGAUGCCCUGACUUUUGCCUAAGUCAUUUUGUGGUAUUUGAUUUAGCGGGCUUUUUUUUUUUAUUUUUUAAAGGUAUUGACUGCCACAUUAUUGGUGGAUAAGGAUCAACCAACACUAAUUUUAGCUUUUCUUAACUUCUUCGACACUUCAACAUGUGCGCGAAGGAUAACAUGUGGUUGAACCUAAUUGGAGGGUGUUCAUAUGGACGAUUUUUUUUGAAAGAUCGAAUGCACGAUCAAACUAUCUGAACACAACUACCCUGCCCCAGGUUAAGAUUAAGGGUUUUAGAUCCGAAAUAAACACCAACUUCUAGGCUCAAAGUGGUUGACUAGGGAUUAACUCCUUAUCUCUUCAGUGUUUGGGGAUUUGAAACAAUGCCUUACAUCAUCGACAAGGUUUUACUCAAAAGCAUACCACAACAAUUUCAGGUGUUUCGUUUUCAUCAUCCUCCUUCCAAUCUUUGUUAACACAACGGUUUGAUAAACAAAAGUGAAUGAGAGCAGUAUUUUUGUUUUUGUUUUUUAACAUAAAUGAAAAACGAGUGAAUACGAAUGGAUUAAUUCAAAAGAUGCAUAAACAUUUCAUUAAUCUUACCAAUUCAAAGAAAACAACAAUGCUUAAAAGCAAUUAACAAUCAACAUGCAAGGAAACUACAAAAGAAAUGCUGAGACAGCCAAAUGAUUGCCAGCUUUAGGGAAUUGACUUCUUCAAACUUGAAGGUUGGGAUCAACAAGCUUUUUGACAUUGGCAUGAUGAUCUUCAAAUUCCUUUCCUUCAAUCUCAUCGUUGAACGCAACCCUCUUGAAUCCACUACUCACUUCUCCUUUUCUUUCAUUGGUAUGGGUCGUGACAUUGGAAAUCCAAGGCGGUAUCUCAAUGCUCUUACCAGGAAACAAUGAUAGCUCAUUAGCCACAUCCCUGACAUCUUCCUUGUGGAACAAAACCUUGAGGGGUUUCAAGGGUCCUUUCCCUUUCUCAUUACCUGGCCCAGAAAUCAAGGUAUAUGUACCUGAGCCUUCCUCCUUGAGUGUUGGUGACCUUAUGUCAAUCAAUCUUUGCAGCUUGAGCUUAAAACUCUUGCAUUCCUCGAUGGAGUGCCCCAUUGUUCCAGUAUGGUAUCCGCACUUGAUCUUCGGGUGAUCUUCUUCAAAGACUAAGCUCUUCUUGUUAAUCAGUCCUUGUACCAAAUAUUUUAGCGCACAGCAAGAAUCUAGGUCAUGUCCCAAUGCCCCUUUAUGGAAUUCACACGUUGCAUUUGGAUUGUACCAUGGUAGGUAUGGUGACACAGGUGUGAGAGCUCGAGGGGUCACCAAAGCAUUUUGGAUCAGUUGCGGGUAGAGCUUGCUAUAUGGCACCGGAAUCGAGUCAUUUUGAUCCUGGUUCUUCUUGCUCUGAUUCUGAUUUUUGUUUUGAACCUGACUUCGGUGAUUUUGAGGAGGAAUAGCCAGAUACUGUUGAUGAUGACGUCUUGAGGGAGGUCUAUAUACUGGUAAAUAAGGGGUUGUCACAUAGGAUUUCCCCUGACUUGGGGUAACACUAGAUGGAUGUGGAGUAGUAGCUCUCUUUGUUGCAGUAGUGUAUAUUGGAUGACCCUCUUUUCUCAACAAGACUUGCAGGGUUUCCAAGACCCAUCUCAUUUGGCUCUUCAAAAGAUUAAGUUCCUCCUUCAAUACUUCUUGACUUUUGCUUAGCUCGUCCAUCAUCUCUUGAGACAUGGUUCUUUGUUCUAAACGCGUGUUAGGAAUCACUUUGCUUGAACAUGGACAAAGGAUGGAUGAGUUUUUUUUUGUAUUUUUGGAAAAUGAUAUGAAAUGCAUGAUGACGAAUGCAUAUGCAACGGUAUAUGAAUGGAUGCAAUGCAUUGUUUUUGUGUUUUGAUAUGCAAAUAAAAUGCAAUCCAGGUAGUUAUGAUUUGGGAUAAUGUGAGUAACUCAGAACAUCUUACUAGGUAGGCUCCUUAACAGAUAGUUCUAGGUUUUCUACCCAUAAACCCACUCACAGGAUAGUUUCUACGUUUUUGAUAAGGUUCCCAGAGUCAUGGACCAUAAUCGUAUCAACAUCAUGCAACAGGCUAGCCGUUUUAUGACAAGAGUGACGCAAGGUCUCUUCUGAGCGGAGUUUUCAUGUUGGGUGCAAAAAGGAGAGGCCCUUGGAGUCCAUCAUUACGCAACCACCAAAGCAGGAACUGGUUCUAAGAGGGGCUCCUAGAGUCAUGGACCCUUCAUGAAUCAACAUUAUGCAACAGGCUAGCUGUCUUAUAAAGAGAUCUACAAACAGGUCUACUCUAGGGGAGUCUUCAUGCUAGACACGCAAGGAGUGGCCCUUGGGGACUAACACUACACAACUUCCAAUUCUAACUUAUGUGUUCUCUCUUCUUUUUCCAAAGCUCGGGUGUAGAGCUUUAUUCAUGAUAUCAAAAUCCCAACACCCACACAUAUAUAUAUAUAUAUAUAAUCAUAUAUAAAAAUGCAAUAAAACAGAGAUAAAAAGAGCAUAUAACAAAGAAAAAUAAACAAAUAAAGCUAACACACAUACGAAAAAACCUAACUAAACUAGGGUUGACUCACUUAGGGAUGUUCCUGUCCCCAGCAGAGUCGCCAUCUGUCGCACCUCGAAGAAAUGGGGAUACGACUUUAAAGCGAAGCGCGAUCGCACGCUCGCAAUGAUGGACUGAACAGAGUCGCCACCGAACUUUAUUUAUUCCUAAAAAGGAAAGGGGAAAUAUCGAUAAAACCCAAGACAAAAGAAAGGAUAAGAUAUGGUCAUCGCAACCAAUAUCAGGGUUCGGGAGUCGAUUACGCAAGGGGAAGGUAUUAGCACCCCUCACGUCCGUUGUACUCAACGGGAACCAUUAAGUUAGUUUCGUUCUGAAUGUUAGCUUAUGUUAGUCUUCUUAAGUUAUAAUGAGAGAGAGAAAGAAUAGAAGAUAGAAGAAAUGUUUUUGGAUUUUUGACGAAGGACUAAACCUAAGUUUUUUAUUAGUGGGCCUGACAAGAUUUAUAAAUCCUGCUCCUACGUAUCUCAAAAGAGAAAUCAAGGCUUACGUAGUUCUGGGUAGAAAAAUGUUUGUUUGUUGGUCGAUUUUAGCGAAAGCUAUAUUGUAUUAAUCGACAAAAACAUCGUUUUACCCAAAACAGAUGAGGAGUGGACGCAUACCACACAUCGAACGGAUUUAUAGAUCUACAUUCGGAAAAGCGUCACUUAUCUCGACUCAACAAUUGUGGCCGAAACAUUGUUUUGUAUCACUUAAGACAAGAUACCUCUCGUUUAUGAAAAGGUUUUUGAUUAGUCGCACAACGGCGAGAAAAGGAGUUUGAUUGGUUGGAUGUAUUUUGAGUGAUGGCGAGAACUUGGAUGAGCGAGAUAUACAUCUCGAAUCCUAGCCUCAGGAGUGCAUGGUAUACACCAUGUUCCAUUUCCAUCUUUAUUGAAAGAGUUUAAGAUAGAAAUUAAGUAUAUGUUUUUGAGUUUGAAAUACGGAUAUUUAAGAAUGAGGCAUAAGCCCUAAGAUCAAAAUUUCAGGGUUCCACUGGAAUGCUAGAUUCCAAUGGUCCUUUCUUAUUCGAAUUAUUUAAGAAAAAAUAUUUGGACAACGAACACUUGAUGAGAAUCAACUAUUCAAAGGGUUACGCCAGAAUGCUUGAUCCCAACGGUCCUUCUCCUUGUCCAAGUUAAUUAAUGUGUUUUAAAAAGAAUGAACAGUUAAUCCAAAACGCGUGGUUCAAGACCGAUCAUUCAAGGGUUCCUACCGGAAUGCUAGAUUCCAAUAGUCCACUUCUUUUGAGUUAUUCAUAAAAGGUUUUAAUAUUUUAACUUAAAUAGUAAAGUGUUUUAAUUGGGAUAAGAAACAAACUAAUCAGAUUAAAAUGUAUAAUUUGGGGUAGGAUCAAAGUUUAAAAAAAUAGUCAUAAGUAUUUUAUUAUAUUAAUUAGUCAACAUCAUUACUAGAUAUUUAUUUAAUUAUUUAUUCGUAAUAUUCUAACAAUAAUAAAUAAAACUACAAAGAAAAUGAUAUUAUAUGAAAAUAAUAAUUCUAGAGUUAUUCAAACAUUUAGAGAAAAUAGCAAGAAAUUAAGUUGGAGAAAAAUACAAUUAUAUUCUUUUUAGGUCUAGUAAAAUAAAGUGAGAAAAUAAGAUCAACUUAAUAUUAGACACAUGCAGAUUAUUUUUAUUUAAAAAAGUCUGAUAAUAAAACAAUUAAAUACUUUUUUAUAACAACAACAAAAAAUAAAUUAAACAUAACCUUUUUAUUUUUUAUAACAUAAUCUAAUGAUAAUAAUAAAUAUAUUUAAAUUAACCUUUUUUAUAUUUUUAUAACAUAAUUUAAAAUAAUGAUGAAAAUAACUAAAUUAAAUAUAUUUUUUUUUAAAAAAAAAUUCUUAUAACAGAAUCUAAAAAUAAUAAUCAAACUAACUAAAUUAAUCCUUAUUUAAUAUUUAUUAUAACAAUCUAAAAAUAAUGGUGAAAACGACUAAAUUAAUUUUUUUAAUGUUUUUUAUAACAUGAUCUAAAACUAAUGAUGAAAAUAACUAAAUUAAAUUUUUUUAUAAUUUUUAUAACAUAAUCUAAAUUAAAAUAAAAUAAAAGGUAAAAUUAUUUUUUUGAAUUUUUAUAACAUGAUCUAGAAAUAAAUGGUAAACUUAAUUUUUGAUUUUUAUGACAUAAUAUAAAAUAAAAAUAAAAUAAAUAUUGAACUUAAUUUUUUUUGAAAUUUAUGACAUAAUCUAAUAAUAAUGAAAAUAACUAAGUUAAUUUUUAAAAUAUUUUACAACAUAAUCUAAAAUACAAAAUAAUAAAUAGAAAACUCUUUUUGUAAUUUUUAUUAAUAUGACUUAUAUGUAUUUAUGUAUUUAUUUUUAUUUUAAAAAAAAUAACAAAAGAAUAAGUUGAUUUAAAUGUUUUAAGAAACAAAGAAAAUAAAAUAAACGGUUAAUCGAAAAUGCAAAGCUUAUGACCGAGUAUUCGAGGGUUCCCACCGGAAUGCUAGAUUCCAAUGGUCCUCUUCUUUAUAGUAACUUUUGAAAAUAUUUAAUAUUUUGACUUAAAUGAUAAGAUGAUUUAAUCGGGAAAAAAAUAUUUAAUCGAAUUUUUUAAAAAACAUGUUAUUGGGCCAAAAUUCUUAUUCUAUCUAUUCGAUCAAUAUCAUCGUACAAUUAUUUAUUUAAAUAGCAACCCAAAAAUAAAUAAAAAAGUAGAUAUUUUAAUUAAAUCAUAGAAUGAAUGAUAAAAAUAAUUUAGAAAUCAAAACUAAUUAAAUAAUCUAAUUAAUAAUAGUAACAAUUAAUUAAUGAUGACCAAAUAACUAAAUUAUUAAAAAACAAUUAAAAGAAAUAAUGAAAAAAAUCUUUUUAUUAUUCUGAUUUUAAUAUAUUUUUACCAACGGUUAUAUUUUAAAAUAAAGAAGAAAAUAAGAAAAUUUCUAAGCAUCCAUUAAUUAAAAAUAGAUAUAAUAUAAAAUUGUUUUUGUUUUUAUUUUUUACUUUCUCUUUUAACUAAAAAAAAAUAAACCAAAUAAUAAAAUAAAUAGAAAUCAAGUCAUAAAUGUUAUUCUUUCCUAUGAACAGGCAACUGAAUAUUUAGUGAUUUUCAAAAGACCAAAUGAACAGUAAAUCUUCACGUGAUUCUUGGAAGAAGAAGAAAAGUGCAUUAAAUAAUAUUGAAAAUAGAAUAAAUGUAAAUAAUGAGAAUUAAAAUCAGUAAACCUAUCACCAUUCACUUCCUUUCUUCUUUCACGCUCAAUCAUCCUUCUCUCUCUCACUUUCGAUCUCUUACCAUCUCGCCACUCUCGAUCGCUCUAUCUCACACCUCUCUCGCUCAUGUCAUCUCUCAAUCUCAACCUUAUUCACAAACUUUCACUCUACAUGCCAAAAAAACAAAAUGCUUUAAAGAGAUUCAAGCAGUAAAACUCACCUUCGGCGGUGGUCCGACGGUAAUGACGAUGCUUGGAUCUUCCUCCCGUCGCCGCUCAACUCUUCUAGCUUUAGGGUUUUCGCUCUCUGAAAACUUUAGGGUUUUUUUUGUGGCUGAUUGAAGUUAGGUUUUUCGUCGCCGCUCCUAAAAAACCCUCCUUUUUUCCUACAGCAUCCGCCUCUUUUUAUACCCAAUCAGUUAGGGUUUUCGAGCUAGCUAUGGAGAUUAAAAAGGGAAACCUCUUGGAAGUGCUUUUAGGUGCUCAGCUUUGCCUGUCUCGCUUGAUACUUAAAUCUGGAAACGGUAAUAUGAACUUAGCUUUCUUCCUCUAACUUUGUCUCAAUUCUCUUUUGGGUUAUUUUUUGAACUUUACAGCCUUUGCUAAUUACUUGGUUUUACUGUAGUAAAAAUUGGUGAAAAGAAACACUUCGGUUAUUUGCAAAGCUCAACUAUUGCUACUACCAUGAACUUCUAGGUGUGAAGAAGUGCUAGCUAUCAAGGAUGAAAAUCAGUUCCGUUAUAAGCUAAUGUUAAUGUUAAGUCUCAUUACAUUGUCUUACUUAACUGUUAGUGCAGAAUUUCUUAUUAAUUGGAAAUUUUGUUCAACUAUGAGGAAUUAUUCUUACUGUUAUGCUUAUUAAUCUCUGCAGGUUAGUAGGUGUUGCCGGUUGAAUGUGUUGUUGCUAAUGUGUUUGNNN